CUUAAAAUGUCGAAAGUAAUACUAGAUUCCUUACCAAAACCUUAGUGUUUUCUUUUUCACUAUUUUCCUUUCUUUCUCUUCUUCUUUCACUAAUUUACUAUCUCUCUCUCUAAACCUUUGAGAAAUAGAAGAAAUGGAAGUGUAGAGAGGAAGGGAAGGAGAAGGGAAAUUAAUAGAAUUUCGGAACUAUUUGAUUCAUGCCAAGUGGCAAAAUCUGUUGAAGAGAAAGGAGAAAAGAUUCUUGGUACGAAAAGAAAGGGAGGAAAAUUUCCUCCACCGGCGGUGGCGGCGCACUGACCAAGGCAGCGGAUGGGACAUGCGAACAUGCAUGCAUGCAGAUGGGACGUGCGCAUUGUGCACAUGCCUUGCAGCCACUGUACGCUCAUGCGCGCACUUAGUGCCUGCACUCGCACAGACAAA
This 420-nucleotide long non-coding RNA is filed under the name Carica papaya (papaya). RNAcentral's name for it is "long non-coding RNA (CPAP_LNC001765)". Lineage: Eukaryota; Viridiplantae; Streptophyta; Magnoliopsida; Brassicales; Caricaceae. The record is from RNAcentral.